This 253-nucleotide ribosomal RNA is filed under the name uncultured bacterium. RNAcentral's name for it is "partial 16S ribosomal RNA". It matches the Rfam family "Bacterial small subunit ribosomal RNA", at positions 524 to 776 of the family's 1533-position model. The record is from RNAcentral.
UACGUAGGGGGCAAGCGUUGUCCGGAAUCAUUGGGCGUAAAGAGCGUGUAGGCGGCCUGAUAAGUCGGCUGUGAAAGUCAAGGGCUCAACCCUUGAAUGCCGGCCGAUACUGUCAGGCUAGAGUCCGGAAGAGGCGAGUGGAAUUCCUGGUGUAGCGGUGAAAUGCGCAGAUAUCAGGAGGAACACCGAUGGCGAAGGCAGCUCGCUGGGACGGUACUGACGCUGAGGCGCGAAAGCGUGGGGAGCAAACAGG